Long non-coding RNA from Mytilus trossulus (common blue mussel), 129 nucleotides. RefSeq lists it as uncharacterized. The transcript has 3 exons. Lineage: Eukaryota; Metazoa; Mollusca; Bivalvia; Mytilida; Mytilidae. The record is from RefSeq and is a predicted model, not a curated record.
AUUUGUAACACAGACCAAAUAGACUCUCCCCCAAAUUUGUGUGACAUCUGCUCUCCUGCGAAACUAACCAGCAAACCACAAGUAUGGGUCGCAAAAGAGAAAACUCUUUUAGGAUGUAAUGUACCAAAG